CGCCCAACUGCCGUGAGCCUGGAGCACAUCCCCAAAGUGCUGUCCCCAUCUGGCCGCAUAGACAGCGCGCCCCGAGACUUCACCGUCUACGGAAUGGAUGAUGAAAAGCAGGAGGAAGGGACUCUGCUGGGAAAAUUCACGUAUGAUCAAGAUGGCGACUCGAUACAGACAUUCACCUUACCGGGCCCGGCGCCAGAGGCCUACCCACUGGUGGAGCUGCGUGUCCUGAGCAACUGGGGGCACCCCGAGUACACCUGUGUCUACCGCUUCCGGGUUCACGGAGAGGCCCCCAGCGCGUGAGCCCGCCCCGGGGCCCGCAGAGCCUGGGACUGGGGGACUGGGGCGCACGGGGAGAGAGAGGAGAGGAGGAGCAGGGGUGGGGAGGGGUGGGGGGGUGUUACUGGGCACAGACAAAUUGCACUGAUACGUUAUGAGGAUUUGCUUUAAAAAAAAAAAGUUCUAUGCAUAAAUAAAAGUCUUUCUGAAGGCAG
This is a non-coding RNA of Lepisosteus oculatus (spotted gar), 491 nucleotides long. Lineage: Eukaryota; Metazoa; Chordata; Actinopteri; Semionotiformes; Lepisosteidae. The record is from RefSeq and is a predicted model, not a curated record.